This 369-nucleotide ribosomal RNA is filed under the name uncultured organism. RNAcentral describes it as "partial 16S ribosomal RNA". It matches the Rfam family "Bacterial small subunit ribosomal RNA", at positions 527 to 896 of the family's 1533-position model. The record is from RNAcentral.
GUAGGGUGCAAGCGUUAAUCGGAAUUACUGGGCGUAAAGCGUGCGCAGGCGGUUUUGUAAGUCUGUCGUGAAAGCCCCGGGCUCAACCUGGGAAUUGCGAUGGAGACUGCAAGGCUUGAAUCUGGCAGAGGGGGGGUAGAAUUCCACGUGUAGCAGUGAAAUGCGUAGAGAUGUGGAGGAACACCGAUGGCGAAGGCAGCCCCCUGGGUCAAGAUUGACGCUCAUGCACGAAAGCGUGGGGAGCAAACAGGAUUAGAUACCCUGGUAGUCCACGCCCCUAAACGAUGUCUACUAGUUGUCGGGUUUUAAUUAACUCGGUAACGCAGCUAACGCGUGAAGUAGACCGCCUGGGAUACGGUCGCAAGAUUA